AUGAGGUUGACGAUCGGUCGAGCAGGAAUCCUUGUGGCUUCUACCCUUCUGUGUGGGGGGAUUUCUUCCUUCACCACUCUGAUCCAGCAGCUUCCUCUCAAAAGCAGUGCCAAUGUUAGUGACUUUGAUCUUCAUACAGUAGCCAUUUGGUUCUAUCUACUACGUAAACAUGGAUACAUGGUUUCACCAGACGUGUUUGUGAAAUUCUUAGAUGAGGAUGGAACUUUUCUGACAGCAACUCCGAGAGAACUAUUGAGCCUUUACAAUGCCGCACAUUUUAGUAUCCAUGGAGAGAUAAUACUUGACAAAGCUAUAUCCUUCACCAAAAGGAGUUUAGAAUCAAAACUGCCAUAUCUAGAAGGAUUAAUGGCACAUGAAAUUCAAUGUGCACUUGAGAUAUGUGACGCCCGGAUAAUGAAGCUACAGUAA
RNAcentral lists this ribosomal RNA (429 nucleotides) under Triticum aestivum (bread wheat). RNAcentral describes it as "partial small subunit ribosomal RNA". The record is from RNAcentral. Lineage: Eukaryota; Viridiplantae; Streptophyta; Magnoliopsida; Poales; Poaceae.